RNAcentral lists this microRNA precursor (61 nucleotides) under Pristionchus pacificus. Its description in RNAcentral is "mir-8364 microRNA precursor family". It matches the Rfam family "mir-8364 microRNA precursor family". Lineage: Eukaryota; Metazoa; Nematoda; Chromadorea; Rhabditida; Neodiplogasteridae. The record is from Rfam by way of RNAcentral.
UCUUCAUUCUGCUCGCUCUCUCACCGGCCAGAGAGGCGAGACAGUGUGGCAUAUGAAGAGA